AACCCGACUCCACGAAGCUGGAUUCGCUAGUAAUCGCGCAUCAGCCACGGCGCGGUGAAUACGUUCCCGGGCCUUGUACACACCGCCCGUCAAGCCAUGGGAGCCGGGGGUACCUGAAGUGCGUAACCGCGAGGAGCGCCCUAGGGUAAAACUGGUGACUGGGGCUAAGUCGUAACAAGGUAUC
This 184-nucleotide ribosomal RNA is filed under the name uncultured bacterium. RNAcentral describes it as "partial 16S ribosomal RNA". It matches the Rfam family "Bacterial small subunit ribosomal RNA", at positions 1309 to 1500 of the family's 1533-position model. The record is from RNAcentral.